UACCUUUCUUCUUCUAGGACAAUCAGGUGUAGGUUUGGCCUCUUGAUAUAAUUGCACAUCUCUAUCCUUUUAAAACUCAGGCAAACUGGGUGUUUGUCUUGUCUCCUGUCAGAGGAAACAAAU
RNAcentral lists this small nucleolar RNA (123 nucleotides) under Carlito syrichta (Philippine tarsier). RNAcentral describes it as "Small nucleolar RNA SNORA27 (ENSTSYG00000020010.2)". It matches the Rfam family "Small nucleolar RNA SNORA27". From Rfam's summary of the family: ACA27 is a member of the H/ACA class of snoRNA that guide the sites of modification of uridines to pseudouridines. The record is from Rfam by way of RNAcentral. Lineage: Eukaryota; Metazoa; Chordata; Mammalia; Primates; Tarsiidae.